This 228-nucleotide long non-coding RNA is filed under the name Gossypium barbadense (sea-island cotton). RNAcentral's name for it is "long non-coding RNA (GBAR_LNC009071)". Lineage: Eukaryota; Viridiplantae; Streptophyta; Magnoliopsida; Malvales; Malvaceae. The record is from RNAcentral.
CUAAUUUAGUUGACUAAUCUUUGUUAAAGUUUGUUGUGUGAAUGAAAAAACCCUUGACUUAUUAAUUAGCCUUCCAUAUCAGUCGCGACACCUUCUGGCCUAUGUUGUGACAUAGUUGGUAGUCUAUUGUCUUGGGCGUGUCUUCAAGGCUAUGUCAUAACUGUAACACCCCUAACCCAUAUUCGUCGCCGGAAUAGGGUUACGAGGCGUUACCAGAUAACACACCUG